AUUGCUUCUUGGCCUUUUGGCUAAGAUCAAGUGUAGAAUCUGUUGUAGCUCUAAAAUUGUGCAAAAUUUCCACCUAAAACCAAAGGAAUAUAAUCAGAACACUGUCACUAAUUAGUUAGGUGACCUUGGACAAGCUAUUUCAGUUUUGUGAGACUGUUUCAACAUUUU
This is a small nuclear RNA of Oryctolagus cuniculus (rabbit), 168 nucleotides long. Its record names the gene U2. It matches the Rfam family "U2 spliceosomal RNA". Rfam says of the family: U2 is a small nuclear RNA (snRNA) component of the spliceosome (involved in pre-mRNA splicing). Complementary binding between U2 snRNA (in an area lying towards the 5' end but 3' to hairpin I) and the branchpoint sequence (BPS) of the intron results the bulging out of an unpaired adenosine, on the BPS, which initiates a nucleophilic attack at the intronic 5' splice site, thus starting the first of two transesterification reactions that mediate splicing. The record is from Ensembl. Lineage: Eukaryota; Metazoa; Chordata; Mammalia; Lagomorpha; Leporidae.